RNAcentral lists this ribosomal RNA (2858 nucleotides) under Striatella unipunctata. RNAcentral's name for it is "Bacterial large subunit ribosomal RNA". It matches the Rfam family "Bacterial large subunit ribosomal RNA". Lineage: Eukaryota; Bacillariophyta; Striatellaphyceae; Striatellales; Striatellaceae. The record is from RNAcentral.
CAAGAAUUUAUGAGUUUAUGGGGAAUACCUUGGCAUUUAAAAGCGAAGAAGGACGUGGUUACCUACGAAAUGUUUCGGGGAGUUGGAAACAAAUUAUGAUCCGAAGAUAUCCGAAUAAGGAAACUUGUAUAACUACUUAUUUAAUAAAUAAAUAAGUGAGAGCAAACCUAGAGAAUUGAAACAUCUAAGUAUCUAGAGGAAAAGAAAGUAAAAACGAUUUUCUUAGUAGCGGCGAGCGAAAAGGAAACAGCCUAAACAUUUCGUCUUAUUAAAAGGACAAGCGGGAUGAGUUGUGGGAUAAUUAAUUAAUUUAAAAUUACAAAUGUGGAUUUUGCACAAUUAUGUUUAUAAAAAAUUCAAGUUUAAUUAAAGGAACAUUUUGGAAUAUUUGACCCAAGAGAGUGAUAGUCUCGUACUUGAAAAUUAACUUAAACUAUUUAUAUAGAAUCCCAAGUAGCAUGGAGCACGUGAAAUUCCGUGUGAAUCUGCGAGGACCACCUCGUAAGGCUAAAUAUUCUUAAAUGACCGAUAGUGAAAUAGUACCGUGAGGGAAAGGUGAAAAGAACCGUGAAUAACGGAGUGAAAUAGACCCUGAAACCAUACGCCUACAAGCGGUCGGAGCCAAUUUAUUGGUGACGGCGUGCCUUUUGCAUAAUGAGCCUACGAGUUACCGUUGCUAGCAAGGUUAAGGACUUCAGGUCCGGAUCCGUAGCGAAAGCGAGUCUGAAUAGGGCGCUUAAGUUAGUAGUGGUAGACGCGAAACCGUGUGAUCUACCCAUGGGCAGGGUGAAGCUGUGGUAACACACAGUGGAGGCCCGAACCGGUUGACGUUGAAAAGUCUUCGGAUGACCUGUGGGUAGGGGUGAAAGGCCAAUCAAACUCGGAAAUAGCUCGUACUCCCCGAAAUGCAUUUAGGUGCAGCGUUGAUUUAGUUUUAUAGAGGUAGAGCUACUGAUUGGAUGCGGGGGCUUCACCGCCUACCAAUUCCUGACAAACUCCGAAUGCUAUAAAAUGAUGAUCAGCAGUGAGGGCAUGGGUGCUAAGGUCCAUGUCCGAGAGGGAAAGAACCCAGACCAUCAGCUAAGGUCCCCAAAUGUAUGUUAAGUUGAAUAAACGAGGUUGGAUUGCAUAGACAGCUAGGAUGUUGGCUUGGAAGCAGCCAUUCAUUUAAAGAGUGCGUAACAGCUCACUAGUCGAGCGAUCGUGCGUGGAUAAUAAUCGGGCAUAAGUAUAGUACCGAAGCGGUAGAUUUUAUGGUAGGGGAGCAUUCAUACAUCACUGAAGGUGUGGCGUAAGCCAUGCUGGAGAGGUAUGAAAAGAAAAUGUAGGCAUAAGUAACGAUAAAGCAGGCGAGAAACCUGCUCACCAUUAGACUAAGGUUUCCUGAUCAACGCUAAUCGGAUCAGGGUUAGUCGGGACCUAAGGCGAAACCGAAAGGUGUAGUCGAUGGACAACAGGUUAAUAUUCCUGUACCCGCUAUACAACAAAAGUGACGGAGAUGUGUAGCUGCCUCGUGCUGACGGAAUAGCACGGUGAGCCUAGCCUUCGGGCGAAGCGAGGUAGUGAAUCAGCUUCCAAGAAAAGCGAGUAUAGCGGCCCGUACCGCAAACCGACACAGGUAGUCAAGGAGAGUAUCCUAAGGUGCUCGAGUGAUUCGUGGUUAAGGAACUAGGCAAAUUAGUCUCGUAACUUCGGAAUAAGAGACGCUCUUCGGAGCCGCAGUGAAUAGGUCCAGGCGACUGUUUAUCAAAAACACAUGGCUUUGCUAAAUCGAAAGAUGAUGUAUAAGGCCUGACACCUGCCCGGUGCCGGAAGGUUAAGAGGAGAUGUUAGCUUUGCGAAGCAUUGAAUUGAAGCCCCGGUAAACGGCGGCCGUAACAAUAACGGUCCUAAGGUAGCGAAAUUCCUUGUCGGGUAAGUUCCGACCUGCACGAAUGGUGUAACGAUCUGGACACUGUCUCAACCACGAGCUCGGUGAAAUUGUAGUAUCGGUGAAGAUGCCGAUUACCCGCAACGGGACGGAAAGACCCCGUGAACCUUUACUAUAGCUUCACAGUGAACUUUGAACCUAUUUGUGUAGGAUAGGUGGGAGGCUUUGAAGCAGCGGCGCCAGUCGUUGUGGAGCCAUCCUUGAAAUACCACCCUUAUUCUUUUCGUUGUCUAACCGCGUCCCUGGAUGGGACCGGGACCCAGCCUGGCGGGCAGUUUGACUGGGGCGGUCGCCUCCUAAAUGGUAACGGAGGCGCACAAAGGUUUCCUCUGAACGGGUAGAAAUCGUAUCUAGAGUGUAAAGGCAAAAGGGAGCUUGACUGUGAGACUCACAAGUCGAGCAGGGACGAAAGUCGGUCUUAGUGAUCUGACGGUGCUGAGUGGAAAGGCCGUCACUCAACGGAUAAAAGUUACUCUAGGGAUAACAGGCUGAUCUCCCCCAAGAGUUCACAUCGACGGGGAGGUUUGGCACCUCGAUGUCGGCUCAUCGCAUCCUGGGGCGGUAGUACGUCCCAAGGGUUGGGCUGUUCGCCCAUGAAAGCGGUACGCGAGCUGGGUUCAGAACGUCGUGAGACAGUUCGGUCCAUAUCCGGUGUAGGCGUUAGAAUAUUGAGAGGAGCCUUUUUUAGUACGAGAGGACCAAGAAGGACAUACCGCUGGUGUACCAGUUAUCAUGCCAAUGGUAAACGCUGGGUAGCUAUGUAUGGAGAGGAUAACCGCUGAAAGCAUCUAAGUGGGAAGCCCACCUCAAGAUGAGUAUUCUUAUCAUUUAUAUGAAUAAGGUCACGGUAAGACGAACCGUUUUAAUAGGCAUUAAGUAUAAAUGCAGUAAUGUAUGAGCUAAGAUGUACUAACAGACCGAGGACUUG